AGCAGGAUAUGCAGGAUAUUCGGGAACUUCUUCUGAAAGAGAGGCAAAACAAGCAAGGAAAUUGAGCGUGAGCAGGCAGCAGGGAAUGAGGUGGAGAUGGCGGAAACAGACAGAAAGUUAAAGUGUAAUAGCAGCAGAGUUAGCCACAGAAGCCAAGGAGAAGGACAGAUGAGAACAGCAGGCCAGUGGAGCACUUUGAACAGCAGCAGCCAGGGGCAACUGAUAACAGCCUAUCCAACAACUGAUAGAGUAACGCGCUUGGCCCUAACCGCUGCUCCAUAAUUGCUGGCCGUCAACUUCCCUCUCCUCGUGGUGUGCCAGUUUGGGUUGGUGCGCUUUCCAACUGUUGCCUGCCGUUUAACAUCCUUCCUCUUGGCAGGUCUCUAUAGGUGACCAGAGGAUUCUCUACCACAUGGGAAUGCCUCCGUGGUGCUGUUGUUAGAGCAGCAGGAGGUUAACCUGUUAUGGCUGCCAUCCCAUUAAGUACCACGUGCCUUUCAAUGCAUGACUUUGAACACCUUGAAAUGCAUUUGUUGUAAGAAAUGUGCUAUAUAAAUACAUUUUGAAUUGAUUGAUGACAUUA
Molecule: long non-coding RNA, 583 nt
Organism: Oncorhynchus gorbuscha (pink salmon)
Lineage: Eukaryota; Metazoa; Chordata; Actinopteri; Salmoniformes; Salmonidae
Exons: 3
Source: RefSeq, a predicted model, not a curated record